AUGAUUUUAAUCGUAUGUGGUUAACUUUGGAUAACUCUACUAUUAAUUUGACUAAUGUAUUCCGACCAAAACACUCUAAUGAUAUCAAGUUAAGAAUACAGCAGCUGAAAAAUAGAGAGGUGUUAGCUUCUAAAUAUGAUUGCAUGGAAUGUUUACAACAAAUACUAUUAUGGAAAUCUAAUGACGAAAAUAUAAAUGAAAACCUGAAAAAAAAUUCUAGAACAACUAGAGAGAAUGGAAGCCCCUUUUGCUAGAACAGGCAUACUUGCUAUUCAGAUUCAACAGAGCACUUUUACAUACACAUAUGGCAGCCAGGUUGUAAUCCCAUGCGUAAUAACCGCAUCAGAUUCUAUAAUAACAAAUGUUUACUGGGAGAGAUAUUCAAACAACGGCAAAAUACAGAUAAAGAACGGUGACAGUGGAUACCAAGGCAUUACACCCACAACACCUUCGUUGAUAAUUAAUUGUGUAGCAUUAGAAGAUGCAGGAAUAUACAUAUGUCAUAUAGAAAAUGCUAAUGGUAACCACACCAGUUAUCCUGUUACCAUAACCGUUAAUGGCGGUAAAUAUCUUCAGGAUUUACAAAAUAUAGGUUAGGCAAACUGAGCUCGUUGUUUUGUACCAAAUAAUUUCAAAGUAAUACUAUAACCUAAAAAAAAACAUUACGUAUAUAUGACCAUAAAUCACAUUCAGUCUAAGGGGUAUCGAUGGCCGAGUGACCUAAGAAGUUACACUACUGUAUCAUUAGCCUGUCAACAUUGAGGGUGUGUUUAUAUAUGCAGGUGCAUUUGACUCAAAUCUGAAUUGAAUAGUAUUGUCAGCCAAAGAAAGAAGAUUUCUUUUUGCACUCCAGCUCCCUCCACCAAUACGAACGGACCUCCAUAAUAGAAUGUAUUAGUACUUAAUGUGGUGUUCAAACAAUUAUCAAUUCAUCAAUUAUUUAGUCAAGCACAUAUUUCUUAAUGUACACAACUAAAACCAAAUUUGUCCUCUUUCAUGGCUUCUCGAUAUUACUAUUGGUCCGAUUAGUGCUGAUAUUAUUUAUGGAAGACAUCAUACCUUUAAGUGUUGGGUGAGUGAAAUGCCAUCUGCUACAUCAAUACAUGGCAGUUUAUAUCCACACUCUGGAUGCUGGGAACCUUGAUGGGAAAUAUACCGGUGUUUCAACAAAAAAUAUUUUUCUGCCUGUGACCAAUUUCCAGCAAGCUGACGCCGGAUCAAAUGUUUGCUUUGUAACUAAUUAUGUUGAAACAUCUUUAAGUAAUCCUCGUUUUGGUUUUAUCAUGUAUAAGUAAGUAAAAAACUGCAUACUUACUUACAUUGCCACAUAUAAGUUAAAGAUAAACACUGUGCCAUUUUUUUUUCAUAAUCACACUAUCUAAAGGAGAAGCCAUAUCUUUCAUUAAGAGCAUAUAGAUUGAGAACCCCAUGGAUAACAAUCGAUGAGCUCAUGGUGGUGUUUAUUUCAUGUAAAUAUCUGGAAAAAGGCUGCAUGAUGUAAUGAUAUACAACUACAAGAGAAACAACAGUCUAUAAAACGACCGCGCUACACA
This is a long non-coding RNA of Mytilus californianus (California mussel), 1553 nucleotides long. RefSeq lists it as uncharacterized. The transcript has 3 exons. The record is from RefSeq and is a predicted model, not a curated record. NCBI's taxonomy places the organism in Eukaryota, Metazoa, Mollusca, Bivalvia, Mytilida, Mytilidae.